UGGAACGGGAGCGGAGGCACCUGUACCUCUUCCCAGAGGGCAGGAGACUGAACAGUUUGUGUGCAGGGUGGCUUGUGUCCUUGGUAAUCAUCAGUGUUUAGCGGGUGAGGCUGGUGUAAAUGUCCUGCAGGGAGGGGAGCGGCGCUCUAAUGAUCUUUGCUGUGUUCAGGGGCCAGAGGUGAAGCACGCUAGCUUCCUCUUCCUCUUCGUGCCAUCCUCCUGGAUCGCCCUAUUCCGCAUCUUCAGCUCUGCACCGAUCCUGCACAUGAUAUACUUCCUGCACAGAAGCUUUUCCACUAUGCCGGCAUGUUCAGGGUGGACAAGGUGGCUAAGGAUCCCAGAACUGUGCACUUCCCGCUCCAGAGUUGCUGUAAGGCCAAUUUUUGCCCAGUGGGUCUUAAUGGAGGGGGUGAGUUUUUCCUCAAGUCGCCAAAUAGCCGAAUUCAACAUAAUCGAUGGUUGUGCCAAUUGUGCCGAAUCUGAGUAUCGUUUAUUUUUUAAAAAUUUGGAGCUGCCAAUUUGGGUGGAGUAGUUAUGCUCUGAAGCGGGAAAGUGCACCAGAGCCGCCUCGCACUCUUUACAGGAGGAGAUGACUGGCUCCUCCGCGGCCUGACGGACCAGCCAUCCCCCAAUGUAGCCAAGGACCUCAUGGGUGGUGUCCACGUCCCCCUCAAAUGGCUCCUGUUGUGACAGUCCUGGUUCAGCUUGGCAGUGCACAGGAAUCUGACGCCGUCAGGUUUCUUGCUGAUUUGCCCCGAAAUUCUUAGGAUACUCCUGAUGGUGAGGAUCAGGCCACGCUGGCAAGGGGGAGUGAAUCUGGACCUGAAAGUCCAGGAUGGGAUCCACUUCAGGGACUCAGUUAGGAGAGUCAUUUGCUGGUCACUCCUUGGACCCAGAGCUCGGCGCCACGGAUUGCAAUCAGCAGGGGAUCUGAGGUAUAAUGUGAAGUUGUAACCAAGUACAUGUCAGCCAUUGCUACAAUGACAAUGUUAAACAUGUGCAGUGGGCACUGUGUGGGCAAUAUGUACCUUGAAUUUAGGGUGUCGAACAGUCUA
This is a long non-coding RNA of Engraulis encrasicolus (European anchovy), 1055 nucleotides long. RefSeq lists it as uncharacterized. NCBI's taxonomy places the organism in Eukaryota, Metazoa, Chordata, Actinopteri, Clupeiformes, Engraulidae. The record is from RefSeq and is a predicted model, not a curated record. The transcript has 3 exons.